RNAcentral lists this microRNA precursor (69 nucleotides) under Trialeurodes vaporariorum (greenhouse whitefly). RNAcentral describes it as "mir-10 microRNA precursor family". It matches the Rfam family "mir-10 microRNA precursor family". From Rfam's summary of the family: In this case the mature sequence comes from the 5' arm of the precursor. Lineage: Eukaryota; Metazoa; Arthropoda; Insecta; Hemiptera; Aleyrodidae. The record is from RNAcentral.
CACCGGAACCCGUAGAUCCGAACUUGUGUAAUUUGGAUGGUCACAAGCUCGUUUUCAAGGGUCCGGUUG